AAAAUUUGGUGUUAAAUUUAAUUAGCGUGCUGGACUUCGAUUUUUCCCUAUAACGUAGUUAUUCGUUUCAAAUUAUUAUUUAGUAUUUGCGAUUUACCAAAUAUUGGCCGUUAAAUUGUAAUUUGUUUUCGAUUAUUAUUAACCGGCGGAAUUGGUUGUACAAUUUUUCGAACGAUUUUUUUUUCGUAUUUACAAACGUUAUUUUAAAUUUAAAAAUUCCCUAUAUCGCCCGUAUUAUAUUAUUAACAAACUGGUAUUUUAAUUUAUAAUUUAAUUUUAUAAUUUUUUAAUACUAUUAUAAUUUAUUAAAAAAAAUUCCAAAACCUGUUUAGGUAUUUUAUCCGCGUUUUUAACCAAAUUGCGUAACGAAUAAAACGUAAUAAAAUUCCAAUUUAAAUAAUAUUAUUAACGUAUUAAAUCGGAAUCGAAUCGUUUUUUUAAAAUUAAAUAUAUUUUCCUAAACAUUUUGUCCCUAUUUACAUAUAUUUAGAAAUAUUUGUUUAUUUUUUUUUUAAUAUUAACGGGAAUAUUAUAUAUAUUUGAAAAAUUUUAAUUUGCAUUAUUUGGCAGAUAUUUGCGAAAUUAAAUACCGUUUCGUCCAGGAAAUUAUAUGGAUUUUUUAAAUAAUUGUUACUUUUUUUCCAAAUUUAUAUAAAAAUUUUUAACGUGGUAAACGGGAAUAUUUUGUUGGAUAUAUAUAUAGGCGGUAAAUUUUUAUACGUAAUAAUAUUUUGCGUUAUAAUUGGACGGUUAUAUAUUUGGUAAAUUUCGUACGCGUUUAAUUAUUCCCUAUAAAUAUUUACCCGUUUAUUCCAAUAUUUUUUUUUAUUAUUUUCGUUAUACGUUUAUAUAUUUCCAAAUAAUUAUUUUCCGGGAAUAAUUAAUCGGUAACGGGUGUAAUUAUAUUAUAUAUUUGGGAAAAAACAAAAUGUGGGUUCGGGUUUUUAAAAUUUUAUUUUCGGGAUUAUAUUAAUU
This 975-nucleotide small RNA is filed under the name Pyricularia oryzae. Its description in RNAcentral is "Magnaporthe oryzae sRNA M_BR32_EuGene_00011661". The record is from RNAcentral. Lineage: Eukaryota; Fungi; Ascomycota; Sordariomycetes; Magnaporthales; Pyriculariaceae.